AUGGAGAAGCUCUCCCGGACGAACUACGUCCUGUGGCGCACCCAAAUCUCGCCGCAGUUGAGGGGAGCCGGCCUCUAUGGCUACGUCGACGGCACUCUGACGGAGCCGUCCCGCCUCCUCGUCACCAAGGACAAGGAGGGGAAGGAGUCGACCGAGCUCAACCCUCUCCAUCCCAUCUGGGUGAGCGAGGACCAGCAGGUUCUGGGCUACCUACUCAACAACCUCACAAAAGAGGUGCUCGUCGCGGUCACCACCGCGCAUGCUCUGUGGACAGUGCUUGCAGGUAUGUUCUCGUCGCAGUCUUUGAGCCGCGUUAACAACAUCCGCACUGCCUUGAUCAAUGCG
This 345-nucleotide ribosomal RNA is filed under the name Triticum aestivum (bread wheat). Its description in RNAcentral is "partial small subunit ribosomal RNA". Lineage: Eukaryota; Viridiplantae; Streptophyta; Magnoliopsida; Poales; Poaceae. The record is from RNAcentral.